AUAAUCAUUCAUAGAUGAUUCAUAAUUAUAUUGCAGGACUAUCUGGGAAGAUACAGUUUUCCUUUUAAACAGUGAAUGUAAAAUGUCAACAAUAGUCCCAUUUAUUACAGAAUUUCUAAUGUCUGUCACUGUGAUUCAUUCUUUACAUAGCUCAAAAGAGCCGAGUGAUUAUCACAAAUCAAUGUGAUCUUUCUGGGAGGUCUAUUAUUUUGAGUCAUCCUUGAGAAAGGUUUUUCAAAAACCUGUUUGCAGGAGGUGGGAAUAUUCUCACUUCUCAAGUUGUCACGGCAGCCAACGAUAAACAUGGAUUUGCAUUCCAAAACUCAUUUACCCAAGGCCUAUGACAUUUCAAACUCUCCAAGGCUCACUAGGACAUGGGAUAUCUCCAACUCAGGGAAAAGUUCUUUAAGGAGUCUGGUCAUCAGGGCUGUGAGGGAAAGGACAAGCAGAGGCAGGGACAAAUGGUCGCAACUGGACAUCAGAAGAAGAGAAGGACUAAAGCAUCUGAGACCCAAACUGGCUACGGGACAAGUGUUUGGCACAGACAUGAACAUGGAUGGAACAAAGAAGAUUAAAGGACAAGUAAGGCCACCAGGAAUUCUUGGAAGCACAGACAAAAACCAAUCCAAGACAAAACAACUUCCUGACUGUGGAGGAAAAGGAGCAAUGAGAUAAAGAAGAGAACAACGGAAUAAGUUGUGGCUCAGGGGCCCGAGAAUUGGCCUUCCACCCUGCCCUCUCCUAAGACCAAUCCCUGAUGAUCCUGAGGAUCAUCAAAACUCCACAGAUGUUUGGGGGGUUCCAGGGAAAAGAUAAAUUCCCCACAUCCAAGAUAGAGUAGGGAGACCUCAACCCUUUAGAGAAGCUGUGUAGAGCCUGGAACUUCAGCUGUAGAGUAGAAAUGGCUAGAGAAGAGCAUGCAACAAUAUUCCAAGCUCUGAGAGACAUAAAUAGAGAGGAGCAAACCAGGCACUAUGAUCUAGGGAGAGAACAGAAUGACCACAGAGGUGGCCUGUGAGCAGAGAAGUAUGUUUCAGUCAAGCAUGCAAUGAGCUGGUUCCACGAAACCAAAGACCAGCAAUGAUCAUACGUCUCGUCAGAAACCAAGAGCACCUAUUAUGUGCUAGGUGAUGUUCUAGUCCUUGGAUCCAGCGCUGAAAAAAACAGCUAAGUGUGCUGUUGUGAUUUCUGCAAUGUAUGGAGAUUUCCCCAAAUGUAGGAGGUUAACGGAUGACGUUACACCUGCCUAGCAGUAGCAGACAUCAUGAUUUCUAAGCCACAGGGAUUCCCUUUGUGGCAUCCAGCUUUCUUCUGAAGACCCCGCUUUGUGCCUUGUGGCUGAUUCCUAUCCUCACUCUCUAUAGAAGUCUUUCUCCAUCAUCUCUUUCCCUCAGAUCCAGGGGUUUCUCUGAAACAUUUCUCUCUUGAGCCUACAAAAGAAAAUGGAAAAUUGAUUUAAAAAAGGUAGAACAGAAUCACGUAGCUUAUUUUGUCUUGUCUUAGUGCCCUGGACCUUAACUUUCAUAAACAAAAGCCGCACGACAGUGUUUGCUG
Long non-coding RNA from Equus caballus (horse), 1554 nucleotides. The record is from Ensembl. Lineage: Eukaryota; Metazoa; Chordata; Mammalia; Perissodactyla; Equidae.